CGCGAAUUGCCCUUCGGGGUGCACCAGGCGCGAAAACUUCACAAUGGGAGAAAUCCCGAUGAGGGAAUUCCAAGUGCUAGCACUAUGUGUUAGCUGUUCUUUUGUCUAAAAAACAGAAGAAGUAAGGGCCGGGUAAGACGGGUGCCAGCCGCCGCGGUAAUACCCGCGGCCCGAGUGGUGGUCGAUAUUAUUGAGCCUAAAACGUCCGUAGCCGGUCUUGUAAAUCCUUGGGUAAAUCGGCCAGCUUAACUGUCCGAAGUCCGGGGAGACUGCAAGACUUGGGAUCGGGAGAGGUCAGAGGUACUUCUGGGGUAGGGGUAAAAUCCUGUAAUCCUGGAAGGACCACCGGUGGCGAAGGCGUCUGACUAGAACGAAUUCGACGGUGAGGGACGAAGCCCUGGGGCGCAAACGGGAUUAGAUACCCCGGUAGUCCAGGGUGUAAACGCUGCGGGCUUGGUGUUGGGGGUCCUUUGUGGGCGCCCAGUGCCGGAGAGAAGUUGUUAAGCCUGCUGCUUGGGGAGUACGUCCGCAAGGAUGAAACUUAAAGGAAUUGGCGGGGGAGCAC
Molecule: ribosomal RNA, 565 nt
Filed under: uncultured archaeon
Lineage: Archaea
Description: bacterial SSU rRNA
Rfam family: Archaeal small subunit ribosomal RNA
Source: RNAcentral